RNAcentral lists this transfer RNA (72 nucleotides) under Lygodactylus conradti (Matschie's dwarf gecko). Its description in RNAcentral is "tRNA-Tyr". The record is from RNAcentral. Lineage: Eukaryota; Metazoa; Chordata; Lepidosauria; Squamata; Gekkonidae.
GGUAGUGUGGCCGAGAAGCAGGCGGCGAGCUGUAGACUCGCCUACCGGGGGCGGACCCCGCGCUCCUAAGCC